RNAcentral lists this long non-coding RNA (7915 nucleotides) under Gossypium barbadense (sea-island cotton). RNAcentral's name for it is "long non-coding RNA (GBAR_LNC017139)". Lineage: Eukaryota; Viridiplantae; Streptophyta; Magnoliopsida; Malvales; Malvaceae. The record is from RNAcentral.
UUUUUUGCUUGCCUUCGUUAUCAUUGAAGAAAACCCAGAGGUGUUCUUUAUCGUUAACAAAAAAGUUGUCUAUCAAACUUAUAGAAAAUUCUUUCCUUGAGUUUUCUGCUGGUAAGUUCUUAAAUCCUGAUUCAUGUUUUACCAGGUAGAAAGGAGUGUUGUAAGAGUUGUUCAAUAGGGUUUCCAUCUAAAUACUGGAUAGGAAGAAAACUUCUAUCCCGGAACUAUUUACAUGUUUAUCGAUUCAUGUUAUUUUAUUAAGUUUUGGUUGUUCUUAUAUUUAAAGAAGUCAUCCGAUUAUUUUAAUCAAGGAUAUGGGAGAAGGUCUUAAUGCUAAAGGGAAAGAACCCGUUGAGUAGGAAGCUCUAAGUGAAGGUUUCUGGUGAGUUCUUUUGUACCUUAAGUUGUUAUCUGCAUUAUUAUGUUUAAAUUUACCUGCUGUAUAUCCAGGUAAGUAGCUUUAACCUUUGGUCCUGGUACAAAGCAAGUAAAUCACAAAAGAAAUUGUGCCCUUGAACAAAGCAAUCAAGACAGUGACACAUUCCAAAUAUUAGCAUUAGAUAGGUUUAUUUCACAUUUUAGCAUGGCUACCUACAACCCUAAUUGGAUACAUAAGAACUGCCUAAAUCAAUAUAUGCCAAAAACCUUAUGACUCAAAAAUGUUAAUUACCAGGAAGGAAACAGCUUCAAAAGGUAACCAACAAUCAAACAAAGAACUAAGGUAUGAAGCUAUGUUACACGAACUCAGAGGUAUUAGUCCAAUAUGGGUAACCUCAAUAUUUUUUUUAAGUUGUUCCAUAUAUUUGAAGAAUUAUUUCCCCAUAGCCAUGUUCGAAUAUGUGUCAGAUAUGGGUGUUGGACAUUGGUACUACAAGGGAAUUGAAGAGUUGGUGUACAAUAGCUUUGAAGCCUUCAAUCUCUUAUUUAAUUUAGUUAAUAAAAACUGAAAGAAGGGUAAGAAAAUAUAAAAUCUCAAGAAAAAAGGUGCAGUUAUUCAAGAAAAGAUAACUAGUACUAAGUUUGGAGAAAACUAACUGGAAAGGAAAAAAAUGUCAUGGCUUAGUGAAAUCAAACAAAACGACAUAGUUACUAUAAUAAUAAAAGUGAAGCAAUAGCAUAUUUCAUAUUUCAAAUUCUUAUUAGGCACAACCUGAAAGAAUCCUAGGCAAUAGGAAUAGAGAGGAAAACAAAGUUCACGAACUAGCCACCUAUUCACCAUAUCCCAAAGCGUAAACAAUUUAAACACAUCUUGGUUUGGCAUGAAUCAAGCAAAAACAAAUAUCUGACGGAGCAAGCAAAGAGCCAGGAAACUCAGUAAAGUAAGAAAUAUUUAAGGCGUUUUCUUGUCUUGUCCUAUUGCACAGUUUCUUGGGGACUAACAAAAUCAAACCAAAAAGAGAACAUACACACAAAUCAUAAACUUCCUUACAAAAGUUUUAUAAAAAAAAAUCUCCCAAAUCAACAUUUCAAACAAAAUCAACCAAAGGGGGGAAAUCCAGUACUUAGUGACAAAAAGCUCUAAAAGUUACUUCCUUUUUACAUGAUUUUCUCAUAAAAAACAAAACCCCAAAUUGGAUUCCUAAUAACCAAAAAGAUGUAGACGAUAAAAACUUUCUAAUUAAGAAAGGUAUCAUACAAAAAAGACAACUUAUACUUCCACCUAACUCUUAAAUAGCCAAAUUUACAAUCCAAAUCAUAGAAACAAAGCAUACCGUCAUCCCACUUCUCACAAGAGAUAGAUAAAAUGAAGGAGAUCUGUACAAAGAAACAUAUAUUCCUGAGCUUAAUAAGCUCACUUAAAGUCUCGUAUCUACAUAGAGUCCUAAAUAUAAUAUUCAUCACUCUGAAUAUAAGAUUCCACUUACAUUUUGAAUUUUUUUUUCAAAAACAAACCAAAAGAGAGUAACUCUUUUUUGGUAUAAAAAAUCAAAGCUUUCCAAUUUUAACAGCAAGAACUAAAGAAGCAACUUUACGGGCUAAAAUCAUAAAAAACAAAAAUACCUGGAUCGACAUUUGGAGUAAAAACCAAGAAAAUGGGAAAGAUCUUAUGGAAAAAGUAGCGAUUUGUGAUGUUAUGUGGGAGUAGAAGACACCAGUAGGAAGAAAAGAGUUAACAGAAAAGAUGGCAAUAAAUGUAAAAGAAAAAAGCAAAAUAAAGACACAAACAUACCUGAAGAGAAAGAAGGAAUAGUAGGAGAGAAAAUGAGGAGAUUUGAAGACAUUAUAGAGAAAAGAAAAGGAAAUCAAAGAAGAGGAAGAGUAUUUCACGAUCUCACUCUCUGUAAAAAGUCUUAAAGGUUGUUGUUCCCUUUCUCUCUAAAGAUAUAUCAUAUUUAUUUAUUUUAUUACAAUAAAUAUUCGGUUUCAGAGUUUCAUCUGUCACUUGAGAGAGCCGCAACAAUUGGUGGGUUGUCUUGUCCGAGACCAACGCCUCCUAACUCAAGCAAAAAAUCAUUAUAAUUAGGAUAAAGAUUAAAAUUAAGAUAAUCCACCAAAAAAUAUUAGUUGCAAUAGUAAGAUUUUUCCGAGAUUAACAGAUUAAUUUCAAAUUUUGUUUAGUUUUAGAAAAGGAAAUUUGGGUUCUUGAAAAAUAAAAAUAUUUAAAAAAUAUAUUUGGUUAAAAAAUUUUAAAAGAAUUUUUUAUUUUUAUUUUUCUAAAAAUGCUAAAUAAAGGUUUUUGUUGUUUUUAGGGAAAAAGUUUAAUAAAAGUAAAAGUAAUGAAGACAAAUAUUUUUAACUUUAAAAGAAUUUGUUGGCCUUAGUUCAAACACAUAUAAGUAAAAAUAUUUUUAAUAGUUUUCAAAUAUUAAAAAUGAUACUCUAAUUUGAACCCAUAUGAAUGUAAUUUUCUGUUUUAUUUUUCAUGUUAUUAUUGUUUAAAAAUAGUUAUCAAACAUAUUUUGUCACACCCUCAUUUGACAAACCGAUAUGAUUGGAAAGUUGUUCUGGCGAAACCGACUAAGUCGCGAGAUUUAGGUUGAUUAGCAUUGGUGAUUUCCUUAGUGAAGUAUUUCACUGAGCUUCGCUAAGGUUGUGAACUCUUAUUUCGCAUUUGGCGAGUCCUUUAUUUUGACGAGAUCCUUAUUUGGUGGACUCUUUCACAAAUAAGUCUGCGACCCAUGUUUUGUGUUGUUGUGAACGUAAUUGUGUAUUAGAAAUAGGGGCUAGUGGGACAUGUUUAAGUCAUCUGGCAUCCUAGUGGAGGUAACGUGUCAAUAAAGCCUCAUAAGAUGUGAUUAAUUAGUGAAAACGUGUGUGUAUGAUUACUUAUUAAAGAUUUAAUUUGAGUGGGAUCAGGACUAGAGUCAGCUAUAAAUAGGACAACCCAGUAAUGGAGAGAAGAUUUUUUAUUUCAUCUUCUUUGCUCACCUUCGUCAUUAACGAAGAAAACUCAGAAGUUUUCUUCAUUGAUUUCAGAUGAGCUGAUUGUUAAGCUUAUAGAAGCUAUCUUCUUUAAGUUGUCUAUUGAUAAACUCUUAAAUCCUUCUUUAAGUUUUAUCAGAUAGAAAGAAGUAGUCAUAAAAGUUGUUAAUUAGGUCAUAUUUCAUACUCGAGUCAACAAAAGAGCUUCCAUAAGCUUGAUUUAGUUCUGUAAAAGUUUGAGUAUCAUAUUAGGAAUGAGUUUAAGUUAUAAAUGUCUAUUUGAUUGAUAUAAUUAUUGUAUUUUUGUGGACAUUGUGCUGACAACGAAUAUGGCAUCCUGUAGCUUGGACCCGACAAUCGGGUCAGGCUCGAGGUGUUACAGAUGUAUUGAAAGCCUGAGUUCAAUUGGUGAUAAAGUUGAAAGUCAGUACAUCGGAUAUACAACUUCUACAUGGCAUGUUAUAGUUUUGAUACUUUAGAAUGCGCAUUUAGGGUAUUUUUACCAUUAAAUCUCAAUAUAACAUGAACGUGUCUUGAGACUAUAAGAACAAAAUUUACCUUAUUGUUCAACCCAAAUGUUUAGUGUCUCAAGACUUGUCAAGCUAGCCUCAAGACAAUUAAUCACUCCUUAGUGUGUGUGCACCGAGAAAGAUAAAUAUGCAAACAAAUAUAGAUAAGUGCGGUGUACUACAAGUAUACAGGUCAAAUUGUAAUAUAGUUUUAAAUUACAAUGAAAUACGAAAGUAUUUCAAGGAUCAUACCCCAGGGAAGUAUGAACUAAAUUGAAUUAAAGAAGUGCAACAAACAUGCAAAGCGAAGUCUAAAUAGUUAUUUAUCUACUCACCAUAGUACGACUAUGUUGGAAAAAAUUCUAUUCAAAAACAGUUUUCUUGCACAGCGAAAAAUAAAAAUUAUGCAAAUUAAGCCGGUUUGUGAAAUUUAUAGCAAUAAAACCUUUACCGAAAUUGCACCUAUGUUUUCAACUAGAUAGAAUGUUUUCGUUUCCAGCUUUCAACCGGUCAACCUUCUCUGCUAUUCUCAUACCACAAACUGCUUCGAGUGUGAGCUCGAACGAUUCAAAUAAAACAUAGAACCAAAAAUAGUUUUCUUUACUUUCAGUAUGAAAACAAAAUCUCUCUCAAUAGAAACCGACAGAAUUGUUGUUUUAAAAAAUAUAAUUAGUACUUAGAGAAUAAACUCUCACUAUUUUCAGGCAGAAUAAUAAUAUCUCAAAGAUUGUUUUUGUGUAUUUAGCUCUACUAGUGACAUCUAUUUAUAUGAAGAAGAUGUGAGACCCUUGUUGAAUUGUAGAAGUUUAUUUCAAUAGGAAGAAAAACUCUUAGUUUAACUAGGAUUAGGUGGGGCGACAACCAUUAGGUGGGGCGACAACCUUAGUUAAACAAACUAAGGUUUGUUGUCCCUAGCAUUAAACAUUAGGGGUUUUUGGGCCUCUCUCAAAUCGAGUCCAAUUACAAGUACAUCUCGGGCUUUUAACCCAGUAUUUUAUAAUUGAAUCCAAACCCAAUACUUGUUUUUCUACUUCCCAAAAUAAAUAUCAUUAAUUAAUUUAAAUAAAUUAAUUAUCCAAUUAAAUAAUUUUCCCAAUCCAAUUCUCUAUCCAUUAAAAUCAUGUCGACUUUACUGUAAAAGAAUCUAUGAGAAAAUAUAUUUAAUAUUUCUACAUUCAAUAGAUUCACUAUGAUCAAUUAAUUUAUUUCCAUUUUCGAACUUCAAUUAUUUAACUAAUUAAUUAAAUAAUAAUUUAAAAAAACAUAAAUUAAUUUUUCAGGUCAUUUCUAUUUGGAGAAAACUAUAUUCAUUUCCACAUGUUUCCCAUUUCUCUAACUUUACAAUUUCCAUCCAAUUAUGUUCAUUUUAUUCAACAUUCAAUUCUUUUUUUGUUUCAAAGAACUAAUGGAUGGACUGAUUGGACAUAUGUGAUUAGGGCUAAAAUGAUUUUUAAUUAAGUUCUAGUUUUUUUGCCUAUUAAUUAUAAACUAUUUUAGUCAUGAAGUCAUUCCACUAUAGAAUCGUGAUUGAGCUCUCCCUAAUGGCAUACCAUUAUGAAAGCAAUUCGAUUAGUGCUCGUCCAAUGAUCUUUUCAUACGUUGUUACCAUCGUACGAAUAUCUUUAAUCUCUUUGGGAUAAAUUUGUUCUCCCAAUAUGAUUAUAUUUUAUCUCAUGGUAAUUGUCACACCCCAAGUUUGGUAGGUCUAAGAUUAAGGUGUAUAGUAAUAAAAUAAUCUGUCUAGUGAAGUAUAAUCCACCCAAUUACUUUUUUUGGCAUAUGCGUAUGGGCGUAUAGAACUGCCAUAUAAGUAAGUGAAGAUUAUAUUUCAAGAUAUUCUUCUAUUCAAAGGAAAUGAUUGUGUUAAGCGAAAAGGGAUAAGCAUGGUAUGAGUUAUUGCCAAAGGUAUGUACGCCUUGUUUGUCUGAAGUACUGUGCUAGUUAGGUUGUAAAGUAACCUGGUCAGGAAUCAACUGGAUAGAUUAGUAUGACAUUUGUAAAUGUAGAGUACUUAUUUAUGUUUCUCAUAGAAACUGUAAACCAUUAAGAAUCCGAAUUCUGAAAUGUGUGACACUUGUUAAGUUACAUCAAGUAGGAUAAGUCAUAUUUAUAUGUGUGAGAAGGAUUCUAAAAAAGGUUCUUCUUCUUCCUUCAAAAGUACUUUCUGAUUUCUUUUUCUUUCUUAAGUUUAGUUGUAUCUCUUCCUUAUUAAGUUAGAAGUUAUGGUUCUUAGUUAAUGAGUGGUUAUUUCAUCUCUUGGUAAGUAUUACAGCUCUUCAUGUCAAGUUCUAAAUGAGUAAGUCUGUAUGUGAUAUUUGAACAAUAAGUUGUAAGUAUAAGGUUUUACAUGGAGGUUAUUAACAAUUAAGAUGAUAGUAAUUUGUAUGUAAAUGAGUUUUAAUGGUGGUCAUAUGUUCUGUAAACAGUUAUUGUUGUUGGUUCGAGAAGGAUGUCUGAGUCUGGAGCUUAGAACUACAGUAGGUAAGUAUCAGGUGAGUCUCUACCUUGACUCUUUUAUGUAAGUUGUUCAAGUAGAAGUAACAUAGAAGAUAAUGGUAUGUAUAAAGGUCUGUUGAGAAGAAUUUUGAUUGGUAUGUUUAGGCAAAGUUAGAAAUACAAAAAGUAUGAGUCAGUCAAGAAUGUGAAUAAAUCUGGGUAAGUAAACGUUGAGAUAUGUCCCUUUGUGAAGCCUCUAGUAAGGCAGUUAUAUUGUUAACCAGAUAAGCAAAUAACGAUAUGAAAUCAAGUGUAAAACCAUGAGGUUAAGACAUAUGGCAUCGUAUGAUAGAAGAAUACUCAUGGUGUAGCCUCUAGUAAGUUGAAGACUGGAUUGGCAGAUCACGAUACAUGAAUGUGCAUAAGUCUAUGCGGCUCAGACCCAUGGUAAGAUUUGGUUAUAUGUAUGUUCAUGGCGUAGCCUUCGGUAAUGUGCAAAUCAAAUUAGUAGAUCACAAUACAUGAAAUUAUAUAUAAGUUCAUGAGGGAGAAACACAUAGCACCUUCUGUGAGAGUCCGCUGAGACACAAACACGUAAAUUUGUAUGAUGCGUUUAUGGCGUAUUCUGUUUUGCCCUUGUGGUACACUCUGCUAAGUCUGUCUAGUAAAGAAUGCUUAUCCACCCUUAUGGUAAGUUUUGGGUAAAUUUUGAUUGUUUUAUGAUAGAUACUUCUAUAAUAAGGUUAAUUUGGUUGAAUUAGAUAAAGGAAAUUCUAAAAAGAAAUUUGUAUACGUAUGUUAAAAAGGGGUAUCCGCCAUGGUAAUCUAUUAGUUUAGCAAAUGGGCAUUUGCAUGGUUAUAAAAGACAUAAGAAAUUGCCAUUUCAAGUUUGUUUCUAUUAUAGUGCUGAAAUCUGAGUAUCUGAUUUCCAUUAUAUCUGAACAGUGUCUUGUCUUCUUCUAGAAUCUCAUAGAAUUCAAGACAUCAUUGUUUUAAGUAUCCUGGAUUCUGUAACAAAUUUGUGUGUGAAAUUCAUCUAAAUGGUUUGUAUAGUUCAUUAUCAAUAUAAGUAUGUGGGUUAUUGUACAAGAACAUGAUUUGAUUAGUGGAUUGAUGGAAUUCAAUUCUGUGUAAGUAUCCACCAAGCGUGUAUGUAUCUAGAAAUGAUUAAUAUUUGCAAACAACUAUUUUGGAAUAAGUGUAUAUGUAAGGGAUGAUUUUGUGCUCCAAAGGUAUACUCUUUAAAACAGUACUUUUGUGGUUAAGUGAAAAAAAUAUUAAUGAAAUGUAUAGAAAGAUCCUAAAUUGGUCAGUUAAGAGAGAAUUGGUAAGCUAAGAGUAUGGUAGUUGGUGACUAUGAGUAAGCCGAAACUGUAAUAGUAUCCACCCAUUACAGAAGUAAGUGGUUCAGAAUGAUAGAUGGCGCAUCAAUGUUCUAUGAAUAUUAUAAAGUAUCCGCCAAGGUUUUUUUUGUAAUAAAGUUCACUAAGUUCUCUUGAACUUACAAUGUUUGUUAUUGUUUCAGGUAUUGUGGUAAGAGAAUGCGCCAGGAAGGACUACGCUAAAUUAGCAGCGAAGUGGGUUAUCAUGCAUACAAUGGAAAAGUG